This 244-nucleotide long non-coding RNA is filed under the name Elaeis guineensis (African oil palm). RNAcentral describes it as "long non-coding RNA (EGUI_LNC034527)". The record is from RNAcentral. Lineage: Eukaryota; Viridiplantae; Streptophyta; Magnoliopsida; Arecales; Arecaceae.
AUAGUCACAGAAGGUAGGUUUCGAUGGCUAUAACAGCAACCCUUGCUCCAUUGCCGAUCAGGAGAGUGAUCUCUCCUUCCUUCAGCCUCCUUACUUCUUCAAGAUCCUGCAUAAAAGUGCACAAAUGAGCACUUGAUCUAGAAUCUAGAACCCAAUUAGAAGAAGAGGAAAUCAUUAGAUUAGUUUCAAUAACGAGCAAUUCAAAUAUACUCUCAGAAGUCCCAUCCUUUUUCUUACUCUUGAC